UUAAUUAUGUGUGAGACUGACAC
This 23-nucleotide non-coding RNA is filed under the name Cricetulus griseus (Chinese hamster). The record is from RNAcentral. Lineage: Eukaryota; Metazoa; Chordata; Mammalia; Rodentia; Cricetidae.